AGUGAACGCUGGCGGUAGGCCUAACACAUGCAAGUCGAACGGCAGCCCAGUAAGAGCUUUCUCUUACGGGUGGCGAGUGGCGGGCGGGUGAGGAAUACAUCGGAAUCUACUUUUUCGUGGGGGAUAUCGUAGGGAAACUUACGCUAAUACCGCAUACGUCCUACGGGUGAAAGCAGGGGAGCUUCGGACCUUGCGCGAUUGAGUGAGCGGAUGUCGGAUGAGCUAGUUGGCGGCGUAAAGGCCCACCAAGGCGACGAUCCGUAGCUGGUAUGAGAGCAUGAUCCGGCACCCUGGAACAGAGACACAGUCGACACUCCUACGGUAGGCAGCAGUGCGGAAUAUUGCACGAUGGGCGCAAGCCUGAUCCAGCCAUACCGCGUGGAUGAAGAACGACUUCUGGUUGUAAAGCCAUUUUGUUGGGAAAGAAAAGCAGCAGGUUAAUCCCCCGCUGUUCUGACGGUACCCAAAGAAUAAGCACCGGCUAACUUCGUG
RNAcentral lists this ribosomal RNA (492 nucleotides) under uncultured bacterium. RNAcentral describes it as "partial 16S ribosomal RNA". It matches the Rfam family "Bacterial small subunit ribosomal RNA", at positions 29 to 507 of the family's 1533-position model. The record is from RNAcentral.